This 468-nucleotide ribosomal RNA is filed under the name uncultured bacterium. RNAcentral describes it as "partial 16S ribosomal RNA". It matches the Rfam family "Bacterial small subunit ribosomal RNA", at positions 28 to 507 of the family's 1533-position model. The record is from RNAcentral.
GACGAACGCUGGCGGCGUGCUUAACACAUGCAAGUCGAACGGAAAGGCCCUGCUUUUGUGGUGUGCUCGAGUGGCGAACGGGUGAGUAACACGUGAGUAACCUGCCCUUGACUUUGGGAUAACUUCAGGAAACUGGGGCUAAUACCGGAUAGGAGCUCCUGCUGCAUGGUGGGGGUUGGAAAGUUUCUGCGGUUGGGGAUGGACUCGCGGCUUAUCAGCUUGUUGGUGGGGUAGUGGCUUACCAAGGCUUUGACGGGUAGCCGGCCUGAGAGGGUGACCGGCCACAUUGGGACUGAGAUACGGCCCAGACUCCUACGGGAGGCAGCAGUGGGGAAUAUUGCACAAUGGGCGGGAGCCUGAUGCAGCAACGCCGCGUGCGGGAUGACGGCCUUUGGGGUGUAAACCGCUUUCGCCUGUGACGAAGCGUGAGUGACGGUAAUGGGUAAAGAAGCACCGGCUAACUACGUG